GCCUGGGUGGCUCAGUCGGUUGGGCAUGUGACUUCGGCUCAAGUCGUGAUCUCACAGUCCGUGGGUUCGAGUCCCACGUCGGGCU
RNAcentral lists this transfer RNA (85 nucleotides) under Felis catus (domestic cat). It matches the Rfam family "tRNA". Rfam says of the family: Transfer RNA (tRNA) molecules are approximately 80 nucleotides in length. Lineage: Eukaryota; Metazoa; Chordata; Mammalia; Carnivora; Felidae. The record is from Rfam by way of RNAcentral.